RNAcentral lists this long non-coding RNA (428 nucleotides) under Equus caballus (horse). RNAcentral describes it as "lncRNA (ENSECAG00000052641.1)". The record is from RNAcentral. Lineage: Eukaryota; Metazoa; Chordata; Mammalia; Perissodactyla; Equidae.
CCAGGGCUGCUCCAGGGCACAACUCCAGGAGAUACCGUUCACAUCAUAGCCACGUGAAUGGACCCCCCGAGAAUCGUGCAGGCACAACCUGCAACCACCAAACGCUGUCCUGGGACCGCUCAGAAACACUGAGAACAGCCUGGUGCUUUCUACACACUGUGAUCUCUCUCUCCCUCCCCCUCUCUCUCUCCUGGUUCUAAGAGACCUCCGCACUCACAAACAGAGCAACUAUGUGCUAUCGUGUGGUUUGCUUUUUCAGGAUAUUCACCUGCCUCCUCGCCUUCUCACAGAUGCCUGAUGUCACUUUAAUGAGUUCUGCCUUCAGUGACAAGCCUUUACGUGCAAAUACACUUGGAAUGAACCCCCACCCCCAAUUCUAAGGGUAAAAACAAUGAGGAAUAUAAAGAUCACAGAGGGCUUAACAAAGG